Molecule: long non-coding RNA, 9836 nt
Filed under: Gallus gallus (chicken)
Lineage: Eukaryota; Metazoa; Chordata; Aves; Galliformes; Phasianidae
Source: RNAcentral
UGAAGAUGUAUUGCUUGUGUUUGGAGUGUGCUGCCAAGCUGUUUGAUUUGCAGCUUUAUAGGAAGCAUUUUGAUGGGAGGGAAGAGACUUCAGUUUUCAUGUCUGUUGACAUUCCUUCAGUGUGAGCUGCUGCAUUUUUCUGCUUGCUUCUGCUUACUGCCUGACUCCACAUGCAGCUGGCUGGUGUGUGCUGUAAUUGUCACCACUCUCGAUAGUCUGUCUUUGGUUUGCUCUCUGAGGGUGCUCUGAGCUUAUGAUUGCUUCCCAUGCACAUCUUGAGUCUCUCAGUGACACAAGAAUGGGCCAAAAUGUUCUGACCUCUCAACAAAGGUGUGCCUGAGUCUUUGUCACUGUCACUUCUGAAGCACAGUGACACACUCUGAACUUAGUCCCUUUGCCACAGCUUGAGCUAAAUGCUGAGCUGUUAUGCUUCAGCGUAGAGAGGAUACGAGAAGCCUCUCUGCUACAAAAUGGCAGUGGAAAGCCAGAGGGGAGGGCAGACGACCUGAUAGGGAACAGCUGUAUCGUCUUAUGCUCAUCACAUACAGCACAAAGUGAGUAAAGACAGAUGACUGUGAGGUGUUUCUUAGGGUACCAUCUUUGCUUGGCCUUGAGGUUUCAUCUUACCAUUAGAAAACAGUAAAUCACUGUGUUUGUGGCUGCAAAAUUGUGUUUACAUGUGCACACACUGUACAGCCCUUCAGUACUCCUCUGGCAGCCUGUCUUACAGCUGCAUAAGGAACAAAUGGAUUUAAGUUUUGGAAGGCCUUCAGAACAGUGCAGUGGUGGCCUUUCUGCCUCUCCUGGAAGUCUGGCUCUCUAUUAUCUGUCUUUUGGGUUAAUGACAGUGCUGUGGGAGUGCUGAGAGGGGUUUCUGAGCUGAAGGAAGCCGUGAUCCGACUCUGACUCUCACUGGAAUGGGGUGAAGGAAGCACACGUUGAAGUUUUGGUGCAAUUAAUUACCAAGAAUGGUGUAUGGCUGAUAGGCCAUGUCAUCAGUUGCAUUUGUCUGCUGUCUUCUGGAAGGACACAAAUGAACCUCUGCAUCAGAGGGCUCUAAUUGGAUACAACUGCGGGUUUUGUUCGGCUUCAAGGUCUGUAUGUUGCAGCUCAGGAAGGCUGCCAAGAUCCCCCAGUUGUUAACAAGAAUGUCAUUCCUUGUAGAUGCGAGACUCCCUUCAGCCUGUGUUUGCUGGAGAAUCUGCAGAUUCAAAGCAUCCCACCAUGAAGACAAUCAGCCUCCAUGGGCUGAACUUCAGAGCACUCAGGCGAGAAGGCCACUCCACCUCUUUCCAUCCCUGGGAGUCUGCACUGCUGAGCCAGAUACCUGCAGCCAGGCAGACUGGAUGCCGUUGUUUCAGUGCUGCCCCAGCUUGCAGCUCCAGGAAGCAGGGACACCAGGUAGGUGUGUGGGGAUGGGGGCUCCAGCCCAGAAAGGUCAGGAGGUAACAGCAGCACCAAAGGCAUUGCUCGCUCUGAGACUAACUGAUAUAACACACCUAGCCAUAAAAAUAACUCUGAGUGCCUUUAUUUUUAGAACGGAGCUCUUAAAGUGUUCUUGCAUGAAGACCUGUCUCUUAGGAAUGCAAUAAAACAAAGUUAGCAGCUGGAGCUACCUUGUUAAAGUGAAGUUUUCAGGAAACACAGAGCUCAUGCUUUGAUUUUCAGCUCUACCUCCUACUAACUUAAUUUGAAAAUAGUUAUUCUUCACUUAUGGGGAAAGCACAAACUAAGAUCAGUUACUAAAUUUAAACACCCACAAGCAUUUAUAGGGAGCAUCUGACUUCUAUCUGGUUGGUUUGUUUUUUCACGUAGGGUGAAAGUUAGCUUCUGUACGCAGUUCUGCUUUGGAAAUGAGACCGUCUAUGGGUAAUUUUAUCUUAGACACUUUUAUGUCACCCCAUUCUCCCACUCUACAGUAGAGUAUAGGUGUGCUUUCUGACCCCUCUGCCAUCGUAUUGAAAGCAUACAUGUUCUUAUACAUCGUAUCCCUCCCAACUCUCCAGGCAGUGGCAGCAUCUCAUGCACAUGGAUAUAUACCACUGUCCCAACAUCUUUGUCCGGUGUCCAUCUGGAAGCAGAAUCCAUGGAUUUGGAGUGUCAGAUUCAGAACUCCAGGCUUAGCAACAGAAGCUUUCCUUGAGCAUGGAUUAUGAGAAGCUCAUGGAUUAUCAGGCAGAUUUCAGAAUCAAAUUACCAUAACAAGGAAAAAAAAAAAGAUAUAGAAUUUGGCACCCGAAUUUAAGUUUGAUUUUAGCUGGGGGCAGAAAUACGUGACAAAAAGCCUUGUGAGUCAUUUAAUAAACCAAGCAUGAGUUUCACAAGCCCCUGCGGUUUCCAUGCUUAUUCUUUGAGACUUUCAUCUUGGCCUGGAGCAGCACUCCUUUGUGACUUUGCAGGGCCCCAGAGCCUGCUCGAGUGCUUAUCCACUCAGAAAUAAAACAAACAUUCUCCCAUCUACAUUAAUUGAAUGUUCAGCUCUCAUUCCUAGCACUUGGCUCUCUACGCUUUAAUGUUUCUCGAGUGCUCUUGACUUUAUCACAGCAUUUGCCCUGUUGAGCUGCUGGUGAGCUCCAAGGGGAACAAAAUCUGCUAAUCCUAUAGACGUGAGUUGAAUGGGAACGCAUCUGGCUACAAAGCAAGGAAGUGCUUUCCUGUGGUGAGGAAGUGCUCAGCUCAGGGCCCAUUGUCUGGCUUUGCAAAGAUGGGCACAGAAAUCUCUUUGGUCGGUUCUUUGCCUCUGUGCUCCAUCCCCUGAUGCUGCACCCUGCCCUCUCUGCUUAGCAGACCCUCUGCGGCAGUCGGCAGAGUGCAGACUGCUCUCAUCUCUCCCACCUUAUCUGCCAUUCCUGUGUAGGUUUUACUUCAAUCCUCCCUUCCUGCUUUUCCCCUCAACCCUUUCUCUCCUCCUCCCUCUUUCUGUGGAAACAAAUGUACAGUAGGUGUCUCUUGAACUUGCCUGAACUCCUUGUCCCAAGCACCUUCCUGACUAAUCCUUUCCAGAUGUCCAGGAACUUUUAUGUUUAGCAGCUCUGCUCGAGUUCCUCAUUCAUUCUCAGAUGGAGCAAACCUUCUAUUUCCUAAAAUUAUUUGAAAAAUAAGGCUGAUCUUGGCCUUCUGUGAAACAACCUUAAAGUAUGGCAUUAUGAGCACCACUGCAGCCCCCUGCACCCAAACUGGAGCACGGUAAGCAUUCGUAAGUAGCACUGUGAGCUUGGUUUUCCACAUAUGACUGCUCCAUGGCUUUCUAUGAAGUUCUGAAAGCACUCACUACUGCACUUGCACCCAACCAAGGGGCAGGGCUGUCGUCUUGCAACCUCCCGGUAGCAGCAGCAUUAGGAGAUCUGUUAGCUAUCAUUGGACAACAGCAAGACAACAGUGGAAACCGUGUUUCCUGUCUUAUCCUCUCAUCCUGUUCCCUGAAUAAGUUUGCUUUUGGGGAGGUGGCUGUUCCUUCAGACUGGGAUAUGCCUGGUGGCUCCCUUUGCUCGCAUCUCCUAUUUUCAAGCUGCAUGCAGCCUCAUUGCCUGUAAUGUUCAGCAGGAGCUUCUGAGGGGAAAGGGCAGUCUGUUGCCCCAGGGCAUGAUGAGGUCUGUGAGGCUGGAAGUAAUGAAUGGGUCAGUUUGCAAUCCUGGAGAACAGCUCUUCAGCACAGCCCCUGGCUUGCCUUGGGGACACAUCCCAUGCUUCCCUGUGGACAUCCCUUGGUUCUCCUCCCUUUCCCACUCUGCUUUUCAUCUGUUCUUCAUGCUUGCUGUUCAGCAAGGCUUGCCUUGUGUUUGGGAUAUUAGAAAGCUUUGGGCUGUUCAGUGGCCUUGGAAAAUUGCUGUCUUUUUCCUUCCAUUUGUCCUUACUUUGGGGUUCACCUCGGCAUGUUAUGAGUUGACUGCAGAAUAGUGGAGAGAGGAUUUCCGUUAACCCAGAGACUUGCUAUGAGGUGGUUGGUGCCAUUGGUGGUCCAGCAAUGGGUAAGAGCUGGUAGGAUCAACCUGUUUUGUUCUGUGCUCCCUGCCAGCCCCACAUCCACCACUGCCUUUCCACACAACCAGAGCUUACAGAACAGUACAUAGAUCUUUAAUCUCACAGCGCAGUGAGCUCUGUGGGGUUUGGUGCUCCUCCUCCUGCUGCACCACUGCUCCUUCCUCACCAGGAGCUGACACAGGAUGGCUCCCGGUCCUUUUUCCUGCAGUCCAGACAGUCUCUGGGCCACCUGGGGAAGGAGAAUAAAGAAUAUCAAGCCGGUAAGUCUCCUAGCCAUUCUGCUAUGUGAGGAAUGAAUCCAAGAGCCUUUGCAGAUGAUUAAUCUUUUCAAUCCUAAGAAAGCAAAUGAUCUCCUCCCGCUCCCAUAAAUUCAAUCUCUCUCUCCCGCUCCCCCUCUCCAGUGUUUGAACUGCUCGCCAAGAGCUUUAUUAAAAACUACAAGAUGCAGUUUUGUUUCUAACCGAAUCCCAAACAACUGUGUUAGGUGGAGAAGAAACAUUUGGUGCAGUCAGCUUUAGAGCAUUUUUGUGUAUAGUCCAUAGCCACUUGUCAGUCAGAGACCAGAGUCAGCUUUGCACCAAGCUUAAUAGGACCUUUUCUCUUCUCUCCUGAGAUUAGGAGAUGAAUUCAAGCUGGUCAGACCUUUUGGUCUCGUUUCAAAGAGUGCCUGGCAGCGAUUGCUGGGAGUAACCCAUGUGGCAAUCAUGGCACAGUGGAAAGGAUGCAGUCUGUGGGACCUCGGCAUGCUCCGAUAACGCCCCAUUCUUUCCUGACUCUGUGCUGAAAAAGCAGUGCUGCUCCACGGAGCGCAGCCAGCUCCGGGAACAAACUGUGCUGUGCAGCAGCGAGGUCCCAGCCGUCUUCCUGUUGAUUCCCCUUUCUUGACUUCCAAGGGGGAGAUUGCUGAAGAUGCCCCAAACCCUGCUGGAGCCUUCCUGAUGUCUGCAGGAGGUGUGAAGCAGCAGGUGGUCGUCCUGCUGGUGCUGUGCCCCAGGAGCUGCACCCAGGGGUGUGUCGGGGCAGUUCGGGGUCCCAGGGUGAGGUGCACUCCGAGCCGCCAGCUGCCGUGCGUCACCGCCAUUCCUUGGCACCAUGCACAGCGUGUCACAGCCUUCUCCAUUUCAUUUCUUAAUGUUCCCUGGGUCUGAAAUCCAUCAACCAGCGCUGAGAAAAAACAUACGAAGAGGAAGCCAAAGCAGAAGUAAGCAAAGCUGUUCUGUUGGCUGAAUUCCUCCGGCUCGUUGUGUCCCGCUACUCGGAUUGAGUCACAACAGGCACUCCUGCUUUGUGCACCUGAAUGUGGGGAGAAGGCAGAGGUGGCAACGGCACUCUUCCUUGCUGCCACUGGCAGAGAGCACUGCAUCCCUGUUUUGGGAUCCAUCACAGUGUGGGAGGGAUUGGAAUUUUGGAACAACUCCUAUGAUUUUUGGUCUUUUGGGUGCCUGAGAGAUAACAUGCACUGUUGGUGUUCUUUCCUUAUGUGCUUCCUGUCUUCCUCUUCUCAUGGAGAAGCUGAAAUGACAAAGAAGUUUAAGCAGAGAUGAAGAGAAAGCAGAAAUUUGGGGACCGGCCCGUCAGGACUUGUUCAGGCCUCACUGAUUUGCAGUCUGAAGCAGCGACGCGGAUCUGCAGCGUAUCCUGAGCCUCAUUUCUCAACCUUUGAGGGUUAUUUGAGGGAUCUUUGGUCCCCGGUGAGGCUGAGUCAGAAAAGCCAUCUCUGCACAGACAGGAGGGGGAUUAAGUCAGGUCCUGCUUCCCCUUUUAAGCUGCAGGAGAUACCAGCGAGGCCGUUCCCAUGGGACAGAGAUUAUCUCAUUGCUUUUGCUGGAAACGUCUGAGGGAUGCAGCGCAGGGAGAUGAUGGAUGGCUGUGAAACAUGAAGCGUGGAUCCAAGGGAUGGCUCUGCACACGCUUUACAUUUGCUUAAGCCAGAGAAGGACGUGGAUAUGCCGACUACCUGAUAAAGGUCUUUAAUCCUACAGUUGGACUUUCUGUGGGGUUGCAGGGAGCUUUGCUCCUUAUCUAUCCCGGAAUGUUACUGAUGUCGUGGACUCCAGCAAAGGUGAAUGUCCCAAUUUCAGGUCAAGUUGAUGCUGAUAGGGGUGCAGCUGUGGGAUCUGAAACGGAUUAAGGCCGGCUAUAUGAAUUUCAUAAAUAGUAAUACUAAACCAGUGCACACCUUAGGCUGAUAUUAAACAGGGGAUGAGUUGGUAUUCAUCCUUAAUAGCGAAUGCAUUAUAAUGAAAUGGAAACAUCAGGUUUUACUUACAAAGCCCAGGUUUCCCAUAGGAGGCGGUUUAUGGAGUGACCAUUUAUUAAAGACAAAUGCUAUCAUUCGAAACAUAUCUCAUGUAGAGAGGGGGACGGGCUGAUUCGGAGGAGCGGUAAUGAGAGCCGGAGCUUUGCAUUUACAAGGCAUUGAUGGAAGCAGGCUGAGCAUCAAGGCAAGGUGCACUGUCCCCCUGAGCCUCAGCAGCACUGCGAGGUGCUGAGCGCUGAGCCCCGACCCCAAAACCGAAUGGUAACACAUAUCGAGCAGCAGGCAGAAAGCAAAGCCGGUUCUCUCGAGUCAGAGCAGUCAUGUGCUUAAAAUAAGUCCAUCUUGGAGAGGAGCCAUCACCUCAGCAGGGCUCUGGGGGCUGAGCAGGGCUGGGGUGCUAAGCUCUGCUCUCUGCACUGGAAAUCCCCAGAAAUACGAGCUGGCUGCUGCUGAAUGGCUCCGGGUCUGCGUGAUGCUGUCUGAAGGAGCAGGCAAGAGAGCGCCAGGGGUUGUGCUCCAUCCUGUCGUUGCCACGUGGGUGGGUAACUGCGUCCUCAGGUUUUGCUUGUUUCAUCUUUGUGGUUUUGUCAUUCAUUGGGAAUUUCCAGCUCACGGCUGCCCUACGUACACACAGUUCACAGCUCUGGUGCGCUCUGAAGCACUAUGAUUCAUUCAAGUGGAAGGAGAAUGCGCAGAGCACCCUCAGGCCUGGGCCCAGGAGGGCAGUGCUGAUGGUAGCAGAGGGCACAGUGCCUCUUCUGCACACUCAGAGGCUUCUGUGACCUGAGGAGCGUACACAAAAAGGAAGGGAGAUCCCCCAUGUUUUAAUGUGCUCCUGCUGAGGGAUGCCAAUGUCAGCACCCACAGCCACAGCCCUUCCAAAGCCACAUGGCUUCCCUUUCACUUCAUGAGUUAGUGAUUUGGAAUUGCAGGGCAAAUGUUAAAUGUUAACAACUGCUGGUAAAGUCACAUCUGCAGAUCGUUUUGCUGUUCACCUGGAAAGAAACAGCUCUCAUUCAAUUAAUCAAAGAAGUAUAUGGUGGCUUUCUGGAUAGAUGCUGGCACCCUGACAGGACGAUGCUGUUCGUUCUUUGGGAUUGAAUCAGAAAUCCAGGAUGAGGACAUCAUUUGGAGGAAGUGGCAGAGCUCCCAGAGGUCAGCGGCUCCAUUUGGGAAGGCCUGGGAGAAGCUUCAGGUUCCUUCAGGAUGGAGAGGUUGGGAGCUCUGUCUCUGUUCAUCGUGCUGUGCGUAGGAUGGGUAACCAUGGACCAGGUUAAGUGCAGAACGAGCAUGGCUUGUGGCUGCAAAGGGAGAAACGUGGCCUGAAGUGGCUGCUAUAGGGACAGUGGGCAAGAGCAAAGAAGUCCUGAGCAGGGUCUGACUCCUGAAGAAGAAAGCAAGCAACCAAAUGUGUACCCCCUGCCAGCCCUGGGGAGGUGGCUGUGCCAGCAGCAGGGUGCUGCCGUGCAUCUGUCCCAUUUGCUGGCCUGUGCCAUCAGGAGGUGAGGUGCAGACCAGCAACAGUGAGCGGCCGGCUUUGCUGCCGUGCCACAAACCAGCUGCAAUCAGCUCCAGUGCGAGCCAGUCCCAUUGCAGAGCUGCUUGGCUAAAAUUAGAAAUGCAAUUGAGAUCAGGCUAGAAAAUGGAUUGCUUUUUUUCAUAAAGCAAAGCAGGUGCCAAGCACCUGUGUGGAAAUGCACGGCUGUUUAGUGCUUCGCCUCCAUCCAGUGCUGGAGAGACAGCAGAGCAGGUCCUGGGGGCAAAGGUGAGGGGGGUUCUGGUAUGCUCAGCAGUCAUUGCCUGGUAUCUCUUAGUGAGAGCAUGGAAUUCUCUGUGUGUUACAGGUGGCAUGUCUGUAUGCAUGUCUGUAUGCAAUGCAGCUGGGGGAGAACACCCAUCCACUCUGAGCCUGCUGCCCCAGCAUGGUGGGGAAUAGGCAACAGUUCCCAGAAGGGCAAAUUGUAACUACUGAGAGACCUCCUUGAUGCGUUAUCCUCACAUCUGGCAGGGAGAACAGAGGGGCAAGGGAAAUGCAUUGCCUGUCUGCCUCUGCAGCUCAGACAGGCUGGUGACAGCUCCGCAAUGUAAAUGAUGCGCUUUAAGCCCUAAAUAAAGUGUGAGGAACGUGUUUGGGAUCAGUAAAUCCAUCCUGACAAAAAGAAGCAAAGGAAUGAAAUCCCUUUUGCCAAACAGACUGGUAAGUCCAGGGACUAAAUGGAAUCUAGUCCCACUGAAAAAUGGCUUCUGGAGAUGGAUGGCUGCGAUCUCUCUGCUCUCAUCAGUGGCAUUUACCAGGCUAAGGGAGCAGGGAGGCUUUGGAAAGGGUGAGGCUGGGGAAUGGGGUCACAUUCCCCUCCUCAAAAUGCUGAGUUCAUUGCGUUUAUAACAGUGUUCCCCCAGCAGCAUUAAUCACCUGCGAGGGGUGGCUGCAGCCAAACAUCCCUGCUGGCCUUCAGCAGACUGGGGCCUUCCUUCUGCUUGUAAGUGGUAGACUUAAGAUAAGCCCAGCGCCUCUUAAAUACGCCUGCCUCUGAAUAAACAAAGCAGUAUGAUGUGUUACAGGCUGUACUGCUGCAAACUGUCCAGCUGAGGAGCAGGAGGGGACUCAGUGCAUUUUGUUGGUGCUGGAAAGUCACCUGUCUGCAGAGGAGGGCAGGCUGCAGGGCCACCAGCCAGCUUGCUCAGACAGCAUGGAAAGCCUCAAGGCAAUAACAGAAGGCAAACAGCAUUGGAUAAGUGCAGGGGGCAGCCCAGAGCGAGUGUGAGCUGAGCACAGGUCUGGCACUGCACAGCUCAGGGUCUGCUCCCAAGGAAGGACAGCAGCCCUGGGCUCGGUGGAAACCUGAUGCUAUGCUGCUUGCGUGAGCUCUGUGCUGCCCAUUUCCCAGCAGGUUUCUGUGCCCACUCCCUCUGCUGAGCCACCUUUCCCAGGAGAUUCCUAUCUUGCAGGAAAGCUCUUCAAACAAGCCAAGCAUCUGGACAAGGCCUGUGGGCAACUGCUGCCUGGCAGCUCAGGGGAGAAUCAGCAGCUGUCCUCCCACAUGUGAAAGAAAGCAUUGGUGAUGAGGCUGAGCAUCACAUCUGAAUCAGCCCAUCCACCCCUCCUCUGAAAGAUGCUCCAAGCUGCUCUGGUGCCAAAGAGCAAGCCUGGAGAGCAUUUGGGUGAGAAAUCAGUAAUGCUGAUAAGGCAGAAUUGCCUGCAAACAGGGCGCAGCCAGGCAGACAUAGGCAGGGGACUGGGAGAGCAGGAGGCAAUGGCUCUUCCUGGGCCUGAAUAAAGCCUGUGAGUUUUUAACCAGUCUGUUGCAUGUUCUUUGUUGCCACUGCAUUUGAACAGAGGCAAAAAUCAGGCUGCAGGCAUUGCCUUGACACAUUGCACUGUGCUGCUGCUCCCAGUAUCCAUAGGCUGCAGCCCGGCCCUCCUCAGCCCCUGCAGACCCCAUUCCCCCUCCAGGCUCUGCUGUUUUGGUGCUGUGGGUCAGCAGUUGCCAUCCCAUGAUGUGGGGCCGCGCUGCCAGCGCAAGAUGCAAGGCUGGGUGCAGGAGGCUGCCAAGACACCUCACCAGAUGCUUCUUGUCUCUUUGUUCCUCUGAAA